This 570-nucleotide long non-coding RNA is filed under the name Gorilla gorilla gorilla (western lowland gorilla). Its description in RNAcentral is "lncRNA (ENSGGOG00000044276.1)". Lineage: Eukaryota; Metazoa; Chordata; Mammalia; Primates; Hominidae. The record is from RNAcentral.
AUUACAUCGUUUUUCUCAAAGGGGAAAAUAUAAGAAAAACUGCUACAUAGUCUUACCUCUAGAAAGCCUGAAGUACAUGGAGGAAAGAAGAAAUCCAUUUGAAUGGAAGAAGCAUUCCAAGUGACAGAAUGUAUCAGAACAUUUAAAGAAGAAAGAAGGACAUCAUUUUGAAUCAUGAGGCCUACUGGAAAAAUAAACAACAAAAAACAAGCAAGCAAAAUACAGUGGAGAGAGCUGAUAGAGCAGUAGAAAGUCUCCUGGAAUAUCCCCACAGGCUGCUGGUGUCUGUGAGAUACAUGACUAUAAUCCAACAUUUGUGCAAUUUCAACAAAAAACAUUUGAACAUGCAGUAAAUCACUGGAGGUUACCGGGGAAGAAAGGACCUGCAGCCUUGAACAAAGACGGAUUUAGAAAUAUGCUCAGCAAUACCAAUGAAUAGUACAAGAGAAUCUAGGAUAAAGGAAACAGACUGGAAAAUAAACCAUCCUAGAAAGAAAAGUUCAGAGAAUGAGAACCCCUGGACUGUCUCAGAAAAAAAAAAAAAAAAGAAAAGAAAAAAACAGAAACGCA